GGGGAUGACUGGUUUCGACGAUGUUAGUCGCGACAGGUGAAGCGGGCCGAGGAUGCAGAAUUAUCUCGUAAACGCUGUCUGCAAACCAAUAAGUGCCAAUUCUAAGCGCACUGACUUCGCUCUCGCUGCCUAAAGCAGCCUGACGGUCCGUCAAGCCGGGGAUGCUCUCUACCCGGACCUUGACGUCAUUUAGAGAGCCACUGCUUUGCGUUGUUGCCGUUGCAACGUGAGGGACUUUUAGAUGGCUGGGCCUGGCAGCGACUUGUUUGCAUGAUCACUGGGGCCAAGAAAAACCGACGCAAACUGCGCCCGGAGAAGACCUGGCAACACGACAUCGGACGGGGGUUCAAUUCCCCCCAUCUCCACUA
Non-coding RNA from Renibacterium salmoninarum ATCC 33209, 368 nucleotides. It matches the Rfam family "transfer-messenger RNA". From Rfam's summary of the family: Bacterial tmRNA, also known as 10Sa RNA or SsrA, is named for its dual tRNA and mRNA-like properties. The record is from Rfam. Lineage: Bacteria; Bacillati; Actinomycetota; Actinomycetes; Micrococcales; Micrococcaceae.